AACGCACGAGACCUGCGGACCUGCGGAAGGAUCAUUGCUGGAACGCGCCCCAGGCGCACCCAGAAACCCUUUGUGAACUUAUACCUUACUGUUGCCUCGGCGCAUGCCGGCCCCCAGGGGCCCCUCGGAGACGAGGAGCAGGCACGCCGGCGGCCAACCUAACUCUUGUUUUUACACUGAAACUCUGAGAAAAAAAACAAAAUGAAUCAAAACUUUCAACAACGGAUCUCUAGAUCGGAA
This 240-nucleotide unclassified non-coding RNA is filed under the name soil metagenome. RNAcentral describes it as "partial contains 5.8S ribosomal RNA, internal transcribed spacer 2, and large subunit ribosomal RNA". The record is from RNAcentral.